Long non-coding RNA from Saccostrea cuccullata (small rock oyster), 828 nucleotides. RefSeq lists it as uncharacterized. The record is from RefSeq and is a predicted model, not a curated record. NCBI's taxonomy places the organism in Eukaryota, Metazoa, Mollusca, Bivalvia, Ostreida, Ostreidae. The transcript has 5 exons.
UUAAAACUCGAAUUCAAUAAUUUGUCAAAUUCCGACCGACAGAAAACGGAAAAUAUUAUUACUCACACCCAUUUAUUUAUCUAUGUGUAGUGCAAACUGUGCAAGUAUCGGUCCAAUGGUUUUGGAAAAUAUUUCUUCUAAAUAGAAUAGUCAAAAUCACAUAUUUGUGUAUUUUCUAGCUUUGGAGCCUUGAUUUGAGCAGAUAUGAUUUUUCAUUUGAGUAUCCUGUUAUUAACGUUUUCAAGUGUCGGUGCACUAUGGCCGCUAUGUCCUCCACGAUUGUUGCAGGAUUGUCCUGGGAAUCUAGUUUGUGUCGACGGAAUGUGCAAGCCCUGGUGGAACUACUGCAGUUCGGAUUUAGACUGUGAAUUUUUUGAAGUUUGUGUACAUGGAACAUGCCAGAUAGGUUAGAUUCCCAAUGUGGGACGUGGAGACUGGUUCUUCGAUUCAUAUAUAAUCAUGUGAAAUGACGUGAGCUGUUGGGGUAGUAUUUCUGUUUCAAAAAUAUCAAAGACGAACAUAUAGACAGAUAAAAAGUAUACACCCAAAACGACGAUUUUGGGCGCGUAUAAAUUCUCAGAGAACAAAUUCUUGUCCUCUAAAACACCGAACCCCUUCUACUCCCAUUUAUACACAUCAAGUACCUAUAAUAAUUACUAGUUAUUUGUUUUAACGCGACACAAUAUCAUUAUUUUGAUCUUUAAACGAACAGUCUUUCAUAUACUUGGAUCUAUCGGGAUGCAAAGCUAGAUUUGCGUGAUCGGCUGGAUCUUUAUAAUCCAAUAUUAAAGAGAGAAGGACUCUCAAUCUGGAGAGAAAUGCAAAAAG